Molecule: ribosomal RNA, 641 nt
Filed under: Papiliotrema flavescens
Lineage: Eukaryota; Fungi; Basidiomycota; Tremellomycetes; Tremellales; Rhynchogastremaceae
Description: eukaryotic LSU rRNA
Rfam family: Eukaryotic large subunit ribosomal RNA
Source: RNAcentral
UGCAUAUCAAAAGCGGAGGAAAAGAAACUAACAAGGAUUCCCCUAGUAACGGCGAGUGAACCGGGAAGAGCUCAAAUUUGAAAUCUGGCGUGCUCAGUGCGUCCGAGUUGUAAUCUAUAGAGUCGUUUUCCGUGCCGGACUGUGUCCAAGUCCCUUGGAACAGGGUAUCAAAGAGGGUGAUAAUCCCGUACUUGACACAAUGACCGGUGCUCUGUGAUACGUCUUCUACGAGUCGAGUUGUUUGGGAAUGCAGCUCAAAAUGGGUGGUGAGUUCCAUCUAAAGCUAAAUAUUGGCGAGAGACCGAUAGCGAACAAGUACCGUGAGGGAAAGAUGAAAAGCACUUUGGAAAGAGAGUUAAACAGUACGUGAAAUUGUUAAAAGGGAAACGAUUGAAGUCAGUCGUGACUGAGAGGCUCAGCCGGUUCUGCCGGUGUAUUCCCCUCAGUCGGGUCAACAUCAGUUUUGUUCGGUGGAUAAGGGCAGUUGGAAGGUGGCACCCUCGGGUGUGUUAUAGCCAGCUGUCGCAUACAUCGGAUGAGACUGAGGAAUGCAGCUCGCCUUUAUGGCCGGGGUUCGCCCACGUUCGAGCUUAGGAUGUUGACAUAAUGGCUUUAAACGACCCGUCUUGAAACACGGACCA